Molecule: ribosomal RNA, 577 nt
Filed under: Heterochaetella sp. DLL2011-1
Lineage: Eukaryota; Fungi; Basidiomycota; Agaricomycetes; Auriculariales
Description: eukaryotic LSU rRNA
Rfam family: 5.8S ribosomal RNA (bases 200-353)
Source: RNAcentral
GUCGUAACAAGGUUUCCGUAGGUGAACCUGCGGAAGGAUCAUUAUCGAAAUCGCCGCGCAAAGGCUGUGCGUCUCGCACGCCUCUGCCGCGCAUUUUCAACCCACACACCUGUGCACCUCUCGGGCCCGCCGCUCGCCGGCGACCCGCAUUUCAUUUACACCACGUCGAGAAUGUAACUUUUAGUGUGUAACACAUAACAACUUUCAACAACGGAUCUCUUGGCUCCCGCAUCGAUGAAGAACGCAGCGAAAUGCGAUAAGUAAUGUGAAUUGCAGAAUUCAGUGAAUCAUCGAAUCUUUGAACGCACCUUGCGCUCCUUGGUAUUCCAUGGAGCACGCCUGUUUGAGUGUCACGUGAAUACAUCACCUCCCUUCGGGGAAGCGUGGACUUGGGCGCCUGCCGACGUAUCGCCGGCUCGUCCGAAAUGCAUUAGCCUGCGGAGUGUCCCCUGGCCUUUGGCGUGAUAGUAACAUUUCGCCGCUGUCGCCGAGGACGUUUUGCUCCGGGCUCACAAUGUGCGUGCCCCUUGCGGCCGCGACCCCCUUUUACGCUUUGGCCUCAAAUCAGGCGGGACUA